GUCGUGAGAUGUUGGGUUAAGUCCCGCAACGAGCGCAACCCCUGUCGUUAGUUGCCAACGGGUAAGCCGGGCACUCUAACGAGACUGCCGACGUUAAGUCGGAGGAAGGUGGGGAUGACGUCAAGUCCUCAUGGCCCUCAUGCCCAGGGCUACACACGUGCUACAAUGGCCGGUACAAAGGGUCGCUACACCGCGAGGUGAUGCCAAUCUCAAAAAACCGGUCUCAGUUCGGAUAGAAGUCUGCAACUCGACUUCUUGAAGUCGGAAUCGCUAGUAAUCCCGGAUCAGCACGCCGGGGUGAAUACGUUCCCGGGCCUUGUACACACCGCCCGUCACACCAUGGGAGUCAGUUGCUCCAGAAGUGGCUUGCCCAACCCGCAAGGGAGGGCGGUCCCCAAGGAGUGGCUGGUAACUGGGGUGAAGUCGUAACAAGGUAGCCGUAGGGGAACCUGCGGCUGGAUCACCUCCUUUCUAAGGAGCUCAGAGGGCUAGGAGGUCAGUUAAAGGCCUCCAAGCCCUCCAUGGCUCUCUAUCAAACACCGGAUGCUCAGCUUCCUCGUGUGAGCCAGUAGCAUUAUUUCUUUUGGGCCUUUAGCUCAGCUGGCUGGAGCGCGCGCUUGAUAAGCGCGAGGUCCCUGGUUCGACCCCAGGAAGGCCCACCAGAAAAGGUAAUGCUGGGGAUGUAGCUCAGUUGGGAGAGCACCUGCUUUGCAAGCAGGGGGUCGCCGGUUCGACUCCGGUCAUCUCCACCAGACGCCGAAAGCGAUGACGAGAAUAUCGCGGCUCAGGCUGCGUUCUCUUUGACAAUUGAAUACGUUGAUUCUCGAGUGUAGCCAAGCGAUGUUCUCCGUAAUUCGUGGUCAAGCUACUAAGGGCGAACGGUGGAUGCCUUGGCGCCAGAAAGCGACGAAGGGCGUGGCUAGCUGCGAUAAGCCUCGGGGAGCCGCAAGCAGGCUUCGAUCCGAGGAUGC
RNAcentral lists this small RNA (971 nucleotides) under uncultured Anaeromyxobacter sp. Its description in RNAcentral is "bacterial SSU rRNA". The stretch from base 1 to 471 matches the Rfam family "Bacterial small subunit ribosomal RNA", at positions 1064 to 1533 of the family's 1533-position model. Lineage: Bacteria; Pseudomonadati; Myxococcota; Myxococcia; Myxococcales; Anaeromyxobacteraceae. The record is from RNAcentral.